Molecule: long non-coding RNA, 591 nt
Organism: Gigantopelta aegis
Lineage: Eukaryota; Metazoa; Mollusca; Gastropoda; Neomphalida; Peltospiridae
Exons: 3
Source: RefSeq, a predicted model, not a curated record
UGCCACUCUCGCUGGACGCUAGUUAUUAACGGUGGUAGUGGUGCAGCAUGCGUUAUUAAGACUUCCUGUGUGCUAUAGUGGUGCUGCAUGCAUUAGUCAUCACUGGUUUGGGUUCAAGACACUCCUGUUGUUACUGGUGAUUAUCAGAUUGGCAUGGACCAGACCUGAAGCGAGAUCUCCCAUAAUGCGAUCGUCUGAGGCAAUUCCUCUUGUACUCCGUUAUACUAAAAUGCAGGUUAAUCCCUCCUUAACACAGGCGCGCCGAGGUAUGGCAGGGUUUAAAAAACGGACGACUUACUUCAUUAUUCCAAGUGUAGCUAUACCAUUCGAUAACGACAGGAGGACAUCCGACGUUGUAGCUGACGAUUCAAUAAUCGAAAGUCGACAGGAAAGUGCACAGGAGAAAGUAUCGAUAUAUAUCGCUCGCUUGAGAAAUAAGGUUCAGCUUGAAGAAGAAGUCGUCACCUUUUCCUUUCUUCUGAAAGGACUGUCGACAAUUUUCAGCCUCAUGACAAACAAUGCGUUCGUUAUGCAGAAAGUGAUGCGGUACAAUGGGCCACACUGGCAAUGCGCUAGCGACGACUGCCGUUU